GAGGCCUUAUCUUAAUUAAAGUGUCUGAGUUGCAUUCAGAAGAUGUGGGAUAGGGUCCUGCAGGUCUUA
This 69-nucleotide transfer RNA is filed under the name Taricha rivularis (red-bellied newt). RNAcentral describes it as "tRNA-Ala". It matches the Rfam family "tRNA". Rfam says of the family: Transfer RNA (tRNA) molecules are approximately 80 nucleotides in length. Their secondary structure includes four short double-helical elements and three loops (D, anti-codon, and T loops). Further hydrogen bonds mediate the characteristic L-shaped molecular structure. tRNAs have two regions of fundamental functional importance: the anti-codon, which is responsible for specific mRNA codon recognition, and the 3' end, to which the tRNAs corresponding amino acid is attached (by aminoacyl-tRNA synthetases). tRNAs cope with the degeneracy of the genetic code in two manners: having more than one tRNA (with a specific anti-codon) for a particular amino acid; and 'wobble' base-pairing, i.e. permitting non-standard base-pairing at the 3rd anti-codon position. The record is from RNAcentral. Lineage: Eukaryota; Metazoa; Chordata; Amphibia; Caudata; Salamandridae.